This 646-nucleotide ribosomal RNA is filed under the name uncultured archaeon. Its description in RNAcentral is "bacterial SSU rRNA". It matches the Rfam family "Archaeal small subunit ribosomal RNA", at positions 508 to 1160 of the family's 1478-position model. The record is from RNAcentral.
GCCUAAAGGGGCCGUAGCUGGCCGUUCAAGUCCCCUGUUAAACCCAGCGAUUUAAUCGUUGGUCUGCGGGGGAUACUGUUCGGCUAGGGGGCGGGAGAGGCAGACGGUAUUUCCGGGGUAGGGGUGAAAUCCUAUAAUCCCGGGAAGACCACCAGUGGCGAAGGCUGUCUGCUAGAACGCGCCCGACGGUGAGGGAUGAAAGCUGGGGGAGCGAACCGGAUUAGAUACCCGGGUAGUCCCAGCUGUAAACUAUGCAGGCUAGGUGUUUGGGCGGCCACGUGCCGCUCUAGUGCCGCAGGGAAGCUGUUAAGCCUGCCGCCUGGGGAGUACGGCCGCAAGGCUGAAACUUAAAGGAAUUGGCGGGGGAGCACCACAAGGGGUGAAGCUUGCGGUUUAAUUGGAGUCAACGCCGGAAAUCUCACCGGGAGCGACAGCAGAAUGAAGGCCAGAUUGAAGGUCUUGCUGGACGAGCUGAGAGGAGGUGCAUGGCCGUCGCCAGUUCGUGCCGUGAGGUGUCCUGUUAAGUCAGGCAACGAUCAAGACCCGCGUCCUCUGUUGCUACUGGCCUUGCGCCAGGCACACUGAGGAGACCGCCGCUGAUAAAGCGGAGGAAGGAGCGGGCCACGGCAGGUCCGUAUGCCCCGAA